CUCGCACACCAUUCAGUUCACUCGAUGACGCUCCGCACCUCGCAUUGCUGCGAUUCUCGACUCCAAAAAAAGAAAAAACAAAAAAUACAAAAACCAAGAAAACAAAAACCAUAAAGAAAAAACAACUGCCUCUAACACUUGGCCACCGCCGGCGUGCUUGUUUUCCGAAAGUGUUAAAACAAUAAACCAACAACAAUAACAUCAGCGUUUACAACGGCAUCGGGAACUAUAACACUGUAAUCGAAAGACUAUUGGGCCACAAAUAAAGAUUUAAUGUGCACUUUUCAUAAACAUUCCGCGCCGGCCCAAUGACUGAGUGCUUUAAAUUAUAGCCAUCAUCAAAUCGGAGACCGGUGGCAAACUGUAUAUCGCCAUUAUCUGUUAUUGCACCUAAUCGCCAAUAAGAAUUUAUUAAUCGCGCCUUCGAAUUUCCAUUGCAUUCGGAGCCGACGGCAAGUGACUUUUCCGGAAGUUGUAUUCAGUGAAGUUCAGAGGCGCUUUAAUGAUAAUUUAUUAAAGGUUAUCUAAGUUUGUGGCGAUCUUCGUUUUGGCUCCCCUAAAUAACUACCCAAAUAACUGUAUCAAUAAAAAGCUGUAAUUUAAACUGAGCAGUUUGGUGGCGUAGAUCCAUCCGAAAAUCAGCAGCGGCUGCACCCACCAAGCACCGCCCCCACCAACAACUCUCAGCGGUGGCGUCCGGCCAAAACCACCUCGUUG
Molecule: long non-coding RNA, 717 nt
Organism: Drosophila ficusphila
Lineage: Eukaryota; Metazoa; Arthropoda; Insecta; Diptera; Drosophilidae
Exons: 3
Source: RefSeq, a predicted model, not a curated record